Non-coding RNA from Chytridium lagenaria, 92 nucleotides. The record is from the annotation of a GenBank genome assembly. Lineage: Eukaryota; Fungi; Chytridiomycota; Chytridiomycetes; Chytridiales; Chytridiaceae.
CCCUUCUUAGCUCAGUUGGAAGAGCAUCUGACUGUAACGAGCGCAAGCUCAACGAUAUCAGGAGGUCUCCGGUUCGAACCCGGAAGAAGGGA